Long non-coding RNA from Olea europaea var. sylvestris, 933 nucleotides. RefSeq lists it as uncharacterized. The record is from RefSeq and is a predicted model, not a curated record. The transcript is spliced from 2 exons. Lineage: Eukaryota; Viridiplantae; Streptophyta; Magnoliopsida; Lamiales; Oleaceae.
UUAUUAUUUUUAUUUUUUUUCGGUUUCUAGUGAGAAGGAUACUUGAUUUUGGUUCUCUGAAUUUGAGAAAUUGAAUUUUGUUUGAAUGUUAGGGUUCAUGUGUAUUCUCGUUCUUCUGCAUAGACUAAUUUAAGGUUUAUUAAUUACUUUUGAUGGAUAUAGUUUAUAGUAAAACUUUUCAAAUAGUGAUAUAUACUUAAAAUGAGGCACAAAAUUGAUAUCAUACUUGUCCUACAAUGUAAUGCUGAUUUGAUAGGAUGACAUAGGAAGUAAAAGAGGAUGUUGAAGAUGAGAUAAUAUACAUGGUGCCCAAUUAUGUUUGUUGAUAGUAUGCCUUGAUUUCGUUUAGGAUAAAAUUUCUUAGUACCAUUCAUUUUGCUGUUAGUGUCAAGGUGGCAAGGACUACUGGACUUUCGUCAUCUGGGGUGCAAUUCAUGCUACUUCGCUUAGCAGCACGAUGCUUUGCUAUGGAGAAGAUUGAAGUUGACGCUACAAUUAUGAGUAGAUGUAAACUGUAGGUCACGAUAUUUAUGGGAAGCUCGAUAUAAAUUACAAGAACAAGCUAUGCACUAUGCAAGAUUGAUCGUCAUCUUUGCCUACAUUUUGUGAGCUACAAAGGAAAAAACCUAAUCAAUUUAUGGUUGUUGGACUUGUGGAUGAUCUCGACAGGUUUGAGAACUAUUCAUGGGAAAAAUUUUCAUUUGAAUACACGAUGAAUAUAUUUACACGUGAAAUGGGAGGUAAAUUGAAAAAUUUGGAUGUCGAAGGAGAGUUAUGUUGUCGAUAUUCGUUGCACAACUUUCCCCUCACUAUAAUGGUACGAAUAAAUUAUACACUUGACUUUGUAUUAUUUUUUAUAUAUAAUUUUUUGCUGCAAGACACUAAUGUUUGUUUCACAAUAAAUUUGGGCGUUCGAACCCACGUUACUCAUUA